UCACUGCUUCCGCAGGCAGUCUACUUAAAGUUCCCACCAUUACGUGCUGGCAACUAAGUAUAGGGGUUGCGCUCGUUACAGGACUUAACCAAACACCUCACGACACGAGCUGACGACAGCCAUGCAGCACCUGUGCACGGACUCCGAAGAGGGCCUCCCCUCUCUGAGAGGUUUCCCGUGCAUGUCAAGCCCAGGUAAGGUUCUUCGCGUUGCGUCGAAUUAAACCACAUGCUCCACCGCUUGUGCGGGCCCCCGUCAAUUCCUUUGAGUUUUAAUCUUGCGACCGUAAUCCCCAGGCGGGGUACUUAAUGCGUUAGCUGCGGCACCGCAGGGGUCAACACCCGCGACACCUAGUACCCAUCGUUUACAGCGUGGACUAC
This 380-nucleotide unclassified non-coding RNA is filed under the name uncultured bacterium. RNAcentral describes it as "contains 16S-23S intergenic spacer region". The record is from RNAcentral.